CCGACGGUGAGAGGCGAAAGCUGGGGGAGCAAACCGGAUUAGAUACCCGGGUAGUCCCAGCUGUAAACGAUGCGCGUUAGGUGUGUCGGUGACCACGAGUCACCGAGGUGCCGAAGAGAAAUCGUGAAACGUACCGCCUGGGAAGUACGGUCGCAAGGCUGAAACUUAAAGGAAUUGGCGGGGGAGCACCACAACAGGUGGAGCCUGCGGUUUAAUCGGACUCAACGCCGGAAAACUCACCAGAUAA
RNAcentral lists this ribosomal RNA (247 nucleotides) under uncultured archaeon. Its description in RNAcentral is "partial 16S ribosomal RNA". It matches the Rfam family "Archaeal small subunit ribosomal RNA", at positions 691 to 937 of the family's 1478-position model. The record is from RNAcentral.